This is an RNA transcript of Drosophila elegans, 1951 nucleotides long. It is a transcript of the gene named wnt inhibitory factor 1, with no coding region annotated. NCBI's taxonomy places the organism in Eukaryota, Metazoa, Arthropoda, Insecta, Diptera, Drosophilidae. The transcript is spliced from 5 exons. The record is from RefSeq and is a predicted model, not a curated record.
CCGUGUCCGCUGCCGUUACCCCACUGCGUCAUCUCUCGCCGACAUCGACCGACUGAAUGAAUGGGGCGGCCCAUUAAAGCCAGCUGCAGUUCCAGACGCAGACAGAGCCAGGCCCCGAUCGCAGCACUGGAAGAAUUGGGUUGGAGAGACGUUUGUAACCUUGAGUGAUUGUAUUACGUAUUUUAAAAAGUAAAAAUGACUUAAAGCGCUAAAUAUAUAUUGAAUUAAAUCUUAUAAGUAUAACUUCUUAAUAUUUGCAAAGUAAUUUGAAUAAUCAUAUUAAUAAUAAUAAUUUAUUUAUUUACAUUUUUUUAAGAAAGACUUGCAAUUCUUUGUCAAUACAGAUAUCAGUGUGGUCGUCGUCGCCGCAACAUAGAGAGCGUGGAAAUCCAGACAUUCCAGAAUCGGUCCCCAAAAGUGCUCUCCCUGGCUCUCUGCACACACGUUUGAGUUGGAUGCGAUCGCCGAUCGAAAAAGUCCCCACCAGACUCAAAGCGCCACCCCUCCCACGAAUUCGUGAGUAAUGCAACGUCGGACCGAUUGGAUCGAUGCAAAUGCCCUGAUCAUGUGUAAUUGCGAUCUAGACGAUCGCCGGUCGAGCGGUUAUCAGUUGGCCGCGUCCGCUGGGGUCCAUUGCGUCAUCCGCACUCUGUUUGUACACAGCGAUCGUGAUCGAGGCCGUAAUGAGAUCCGCACACAAAUUGCUCCGCCUGCGAAAAAAAGCACUUUCACUCUCACUCUCGUUGGCGGGACAGAAUCCGCCGUGCAGAUCAUAUGCCAUUGACCAAGAUGCCGCGUCGGAUGGUCUUUCUGCAGCUGCUGAUGCUGUGCAUUCUGGUGCAGGGCCACUACUACUACGACUAUGGCUACUGGGAGAUCAACGAGCCUCCGCCGUUGUGUUCGGACUACGAGAUGCUGGUAGUCAACACCCACCAGUGCGUGAGGCGCUGCAACAUAGUGUGCCGGGAUGGGGUCUGCUUCGAGGACGGACCCUGUCCUUGUGCCGAUCAGUAUAUGGCCGGGAAUCCGGACGGACUGGUCUGUGCCGCCGAGUGCCUCCCUGGAUGUCGUGAAGCCGGUGGCUACUGCGCUGCCCCCGACCUGUGUGUGUGCCGUAAUGACAGGCACUAUUACUUCGAUCCCCUGUCCCAAAAGUGCCGUCACAGGGCGGCCCGACUGCUGGACCCAUGUCUCGGGCGCUGCACCCAUGGCAGCUGCUCCUCCGACGGCCAGUGUAUCUGUGCCCAGGGCUACGAAUUAAGGGCCAGUCUGCUCCACGGACAUCAAUGUAUGCCCAUCUGUGAUCACAAUUGCGGACCCCAAGCCUACUGCUUCGCUCCCAACUUGUGCGCCUGCCGUCACAAACACCACCAUUAUGCUCGCAAAGGAAUCUGCUCCAGGGACUAUUGACCUUGUAAGGCCAUCUGCAAGCCAGAGGGGCUGUUUUAGGACAAGCUGAUGUUUCGGUUAAAUGGCCUGAGAUCUCAGGCUACAUACACGACAUAAGUUGAGAGAUAAAGACUAACUGAACUCUUUUCGAAGCUCAGUUAUCUUUUCAUUUAAUCUGCCAAUGUAAAAUCAUUGUAAGGAUUGAGGUAACGUAAGAGGGUCCUGUAACUCGAGUUUACGUUGAUAGUAUAAGAUUUGAUUAUAGAAAGAACAACUUUAAUAAAUGCACCAACCAAUUUCUUCACGUUAGUAAAACGUGCAAAAAAAGUAAACAAAUUAAACUAUAAAUUAAUGGAGACAUCAAAUAUAAAUUUGAAAACUGUUUAAUUGUUAUAAAUGUACCAACUCAUAGUUUUUGCUUACAUUGGUAAAACGUGCGAAAAAAAAGAAACCAAUAUUUAUCUGUAGACCUGUGGAUACAUAAAAAAUACUUAAACAAAAUACAUUUUCCAUUAACAGCAGAUAAAUAGAUGCUUAAAAUAAUAACUUUUAUAAAUAAGCA